UGCGCAGGCGGGCUUGUAAGUCAGUGGUGAAAUACUGCCGCUUAACGGUAGAACUGCCAUUGAUACUGCAAGUCUUGAAUAUGGUUGAGGUAGGCGGAAUGUGUCGUGUAGCGGUGAAAUGCAUAGAUAUGACACAGAACGCCAAUUGCGAAGGCAGCUUACUAAGCCAUUACUGACGCUGAGGCACGAAAGCGUGGGGAGCGAACAGGAUUAGAUACCCUGGUAGUCC
This 229-nucleotide ribosomal RNA is filed under the name uncultured bacterium. RNAcentral describes it as "partial 16S ribosomal RNA". It matches the Rfam family "Bacterial small subunit ribosomal RNA", at positions 568 to 796 of the family's 1533-position model. The record is from RNAcentral.